Molecule: transfer RNA, 93 nt
Filed under: Colletotrichum acutatum
Lineage: Eukaryota; Fungi; Ascomycota; Sordariomycetes; Glomerellales; Glomerellaceae
Description: tRNA-Trp
Rfam family: tRNA
About the family: Transfer RNA (tRNA) molecules are approximately 80 nucleotides in length. Their secondary structure includes four short double-helical elements and three loops (D, anti-codon, and T loops).
Source: RNAcentral
GGCCCUCUGGCGCAACGGUAGCGCGUUCGACUCCAGUUCGGGAUUCACCGAGUUGCCAUCGAAAGGUUAUCCGUUCAAAUCGGGUGGGGGUCA